GCAGUCGAGCGACAGAUAAGGAGCUUGCUCCUUUGACGUUAGCGGCGGACGGGUGAGUAACACGUGGGUAACCUACCUAUAAGACUGGAAUAACUUCGGGAAACCGAAGCUAAUGCCGGAUAACAUGUAGAACCGCAUGGUUCUACAGUGAAAGAUGGCCUUGCUAUCACUUAUAGAUGGACCCGCGCCGUAUUAGCUAGUUGGUAAGGUAACGGCUUACCAAGGCAACGAUACGUAGCCGACCUGAGAGGGUGAUCGGCCACACUGGAACUGAGACACGGUCCAGACUCCUACGGGAGGCAGCAGUAGGGAAUCUUCCGCAAUGGGCGAAAGCCUGACGGAGCAACGCCGCGUGAGUGAUGAAGGUCUUCGGAUCGUAAAGCUCUGUUAUUAGGGAAGAACAAGUGCGUAAGUAACUGUGCGCACCUUGACGGUACCUAAUCAGAAAGCCACGGCUAACUACGUGCCAGCAGCCGCGGUAAUACGUAGGUGGCAAGCGUUAUCCGGAAUUAUUGGGCGUAAAGCGCGCGUAGGCGGUUUCUUAAGUCUGAUGUGAAAGCCCACGGCUCAACCGUGGAGGGUCAUUGGAAACUGGGAGACUUGAGUGCAGAAGAGGAAAGUGGAAUUCCAUGUGUAGCGGUGAAAUGCGCAGAGAUAUGGAGGAACACCAGUGGCGAAGGCGACUUUCUGGUCUGUAACUGACGCUGAUGUGCGAAAGCGUGGGGAUCAAACAGGAUUAGAUACCCUGGUAGUCCACGCCGUAAACGAUGAGUGCUAAGUGU
This 782-nucleotide ribosomal RNA is filed under the name Staphylococcus kloosii. Its description in RNAcentral is "bacterial SSU rRNA". It matches the Rfam family "Bacterial small subunit ribosomal RNA", at positions 57 to 823 of the family's 1533-position model. The record is from RNAcentral. Lineage: Bacteria; Bacillati; Bacillota; Bacilli; Caryophanales; Staphylococcaceae.